Molecule: ribosomal RNA, 1320 nt
Filed under: Osmia excavata
Lineage: Eukaryota; Metazoa; Arthropoda; Insecta; Hymenoptera; Megachilidae
Description: 16S ribosomal RNA
Source: RNAcentral
AUUAAUAAAAUAAAGUUUUUAAAUUGAUUAUGGAAAAUAUAUUAUAAAAAGUUUUUAAUAAAAAUUAAUAAGUUUAAGUAAAUUUUUAGAAAAAAUAAAUUUAUUUAUAAUUAAAGUAAUGUGAAUGAAAUUUUAAAAUUUAAAUAAAUAAAGAAAAAUUUUGUACCUUUUGUAUCAGGGUUGAUUAAAUAAUUUUUAAAUAAUUAAAUAUCUCGAAAUUAAAAGAAUUAAAUAUAUAAAAUUUUUUUUGUAAAAUAAAAAUUAUUAAUAUAUAUUUAGAGAUUAAAUGUUAUUCGAUUUUAAUGAUAUCUAGUUUUUUUUGAAUUAAAUUUAAUUUAUAUAUUUUUUAUAAUAAAUUUUAUUAAAAAAUUUUAUUAUUAAAAAAUAUAAGUAAUUUAUGGGAUAAACUAUAAAUUAAUAAUAUAAUAAUUUAAAUUUAAAAUUUAAAUUAAUUAAUUUUAAAAUUUAAAAUGUUUAAUAAGUAUUUAAUAAUUUAUUAAUAAAUUAAUAUAUAUAUAUAUAUAUAUAUAUAUAUAUAUAUAUAUAUUUAUUGAAAUAUUUAUAUAUAAAUUAAAAAAAAAAUAAUUUUAAUAAUUUAAUUAUAUUAAAAUGAUUAAAUUAGUAAUUUAAAUUGUAUAAUUUAUUUUAUAAAUGAUAUAUUUUUAAGUAAUUAGGCAAAAUAAUUAUAUUCACCUGUUUAACAAAAACAUGUCUUUUUGAUUUUAAUAUAAAGUCAGUUCUGCUCAAUGAGGAAUUAAAUAGCUGCAGUAUAUUGACUGUACAAAGGUAGCAUAAUCAUUUGUCUUUUAAUUGAAGGCUGGAAUGAAUGAAUUAAUGAAAUAUAAACUGUCUCAAUAAUAUAAAAUAAAUUUAAAUUUUAAGUUAAAAUGCUUAAUUUAAUUUAAGGGACGAUAAGACCCUAUAGAAUUUUAUAUAUUAAAAAUUUUUUUAAAUUAAUAAUAUAUUUGGUUGGGAGGAUUUUUAAAUUUAAUUAACUUUAAAAUUUUAAAAAUAUUGAUUAAUAGAAUUUAAAUUGAAAUAUAUUUAUUAUAAUAAUUAGAAUAAAUUACCUUAGGGAUAACAGCGUAAUAUUUUUGGAAAGAUCAAAUUGAAAAAAUUGUUUGCGACCUCGAUGUUGAAUUAAAAUGAAUUAUAAAUGUAGGUGUUUAUAAAUUUAGUCUGUUCGACUAUUGAAAUUUUACAUGAUUUGAGUUCAGAUCGACGUGAGUCAGAUUGGUUUCUAUCUUUAAAAAAAUUUAAAAUUUUUGUACGAAAGGACUAAGUUUAAGAAAUUAUUUUUAUUAAAAUUAAUUAAUUAAA